This 497-nucleotide ribosomal RNA is filed under the name uncultured bacterium. Its description in RNAcentral is "partial 16S ribosomal RNA". It matches the Rfam family "Bacterial small subunit ribosomal RNA", at positions 28 to 507 of the family's 1533-position model. The record is from RNAcentral.
GAUGAACGCUGGCGGCGUGCCUAAUACAUGCAAGUCGAGCGAACAGAUGAGGAGCUUGCUCCUCUGACGUUAGCGGCGGACGGGUGAGUAACACGUGGAUAACCUACCUAUAAGACUGGGAUAACUUCGGGAAACCGGAGCUAAUACCGGAUAAUAUAUUGAACCGCAUGGUUCAAUAGUGAAAGACGGUUUUGCUGUCACUUAUAGAUGGAUCCGCGCCGCAUUAGCUAGUUGGUAAGGUAACGGCUUACCAAGGCAACGAUGCGUAGCCGACCUGAGAGGGUGAUCGGCCACACUGGAACUGAGACACGGUCCCGACUCCUACGGGAGGCAGCCGUAGGGAAUCUUCCGCAAUGGGCGAAAGCCUGACGGAGCAACGCCGCGUGAGUGAUGAAGGUCUUCGGAUCGUAAAACUCUGUUAUUAGGGAAGAACAAAUGUGUAAGUAACUAUGCACGUCUUGACGGUACCUAAUCAGAAAGCCACGGCUAACUACGUG